CCUACGGGAGGCUGCAGUGAGGAAUAUUGGUCAAUGGACGAGAGUCUGAACCAGCCAAGUAGCGUGAAGGAUGACUGCCCUAUGGGUUGUAAACUUCUUUUAUAAAGGAAUAAAACGAGGCACGUGUGCCUUUUUGCAUGUACUUUAUGAAUAAGGAUCGGCUAACUCCGUGCCAGCAGCCGCGGUAAUACGGAGGAUCCGAUCGUUAUCCGGAUUUAUUGGGUUUAAGGGGAGCGUAGAUGGGUUGUUAAGUCAGUUGUGAAAGUUUGCGGCUCAACCGUAAAAUUGCAAUUGAUACUGGCAGUCGUGAGUACAGUUGAGGUAGGCGGAAUUCGUGGUGUAGCGGUGAAAUGCUUAGAUAUCACGAAGAACCCCGAUUGCGAAGGCAGCUUACUAAACUGUGACUGACAUUGAUGCUCGAAAGUGUGGGUAUCAAACAGGAUUAGAUACCCGAGUAGUC
This 460-nucleotide ribosomal RNA is filed under the name uncultured bacterium. RNAcentral's name for it is "partial 16S ribosomal RNA". It matches the Rfam family "Bacterial small subunit ribosomal RNA", at positions 338 to 795 of the family's 1533-position model. The record is from RNAcentral.